This 319-nucleotide long non-coding RNA is filed under the name Hordeum vulgare. RNAcentral's name for it is "long non-coding RNA (HVUL_LNC016127)". The record is from RNAcentral. Lineage: Eukaryota; Viridiplantae; Streptophyta; Magnoliopsida; Poales; Poaceae.
UAUAAGAGUACUUUCAAGCAUGUCCUAUGCUAUAAAAAGGAUUGGGAUACCUUGCUACUCCUUUUCUACUAUUGUUACUUGCCACGUGUUACGAAUUACCUUGCUACAAAACUAUCUAUCACUAUUGUUUACAACACUUGCAGAGAAUACCUUGCUGAAAACUGCUUAUGAUUUCCUUCUACUCCUCGUUGAGUUCGACAAUCCUACAUAUGGAAAGGACUACAAUUGAUCCACUAUACUUGUGGGUCAUUACGCACCUUCACCUCGCCUUGGUCUCCAUCGCCGAACGCAAUGUCUACGCCCAUCGUCUCCCUACUGC